ACAAACUUGCUGGAAAUGGAUGAGAAACCUUCUGCUCUGCUGGAGUUUGUAAGUAGUUUCUAAGGGCUGAUUUCUGCACAAGUGAAAUUGAUUGGAUUGUUUUAUUUUUCUUCUGGCAAGAAAUGUUUUUCAUCUCUGCAUAUUCCUCUCCCUGUUUUCUUGGGUUGGCUUGACGACAAAACCUUCUGCAAGACCCAGAAACAAGUCAUCUCUUCUGUGAAGCCUUCUUGAUUACACUGCCUCGGUCCUUGCCCCUUCGUGGAUUAUGUGGCAUUAUCCUCCCUAAUAACUUGUACAAUACCUUAAAGCUUCUCAUAGUAAACUCUCUCAGUCUCUGCUACUCACUCAUUCCCUAGGUUGUGAGCUUCUAGAGGACACAACUUGUGUCUUUUCAACUUUGUGUGUCACCGUCCUGGUUGCUUUACUUCUAAUUCCACUGCUUCUAACCUAGAUGUAAAUAGAAACUCAGUUCCAGGUAUGAACGGCCAUAGGCAGAUGACUUACUUGUGAGGGUUAGACCACCAUAGGCCAUCAUCAUCUGGAGUUCCCUCCUGUUAGCAAAGUUGUUUCUUCAGGCUGAUCUACUAAUUGUUUACCCACAACCCACUUCUGAGCUGGGGAUGAGUGACCACCUGCCUAGAUUUUCUUGUUAAGCAUCAUAAUGAAAGAAAAGAGACAGCGUUUGCUAUUAAAGUAUUUUCUUAAAAAAUGGUAUUCUAGAAAAAAUAAUUGUCUUUCUCUUGCAAGGAAAGAGGAAAAUAAAAGCCCAUGCACCAUAAUCAACAAACAUUUAAUUGACCAACACUUCCUUUUCACUUACUUCCCUUUUUAAAAAUAAGAAGUAGGUAACAAGGAUAAC
This 859-nucleotide long non-coding RNA is filed under the name Homo sapiens (human). RNAcentral describes it as "non-protein coding lnc-KLHL32-4:45". The record is from RNAcentral. Lineage: Eukaryota; Metazoa; Chordata; Mammalia; Primates; Hominidae.